AAGUAAACACACAGAAGAUCUCUAGGCCAAAGAAUUGGGUUUUACAAUUUGUACUGAAGGUGGUGAGAUCUGUGGUAGGACUCAUACCUUCCUGAGGUUAGACAGAAGGCACCUCAGGGAAACCUGUGGCUUCUUCACUGACACAGAUGGACAAUUAAUACAGUUUCUGUAACUUCUUUACAGUUACUGCUCUAAGUUCAUCUUGGAAAUAGGAUUCAAAUUCCAUAGUGUCUUUGUUAGACUUGUUUUCUAUAAGUAUGCUUCUUUUUUAGAUUCUUCUAUCAAUGAUCUGUAAAUAUCUAUAUGCAGUUUGGUUUGAGAUUAUCUAUCUCUCUAUCUCUCUAUCAACCUGGCCUGAGUCCAUCAUCUGAGGAGGAAACAUUGGGACUGAUCCUCCAGUCAGGCAAAACUCCAGUUGCCUUAAAAGGGAUGUUUGCCUGAGUGAGGACUGCAAGAUUGGGGCCAUUAUGUGUGAAGGAAGAGACUACUAAUUCUUCAGCCCCAUAAACACAAUCCUAAUUUCAAGCACAUAAGCACACCUUCUGAUUUCAGUGGGACUACUCACAUGCUUAGCAGGAGGAGAAAGGAUUUAGUUUCUGUACUGCGUGUACUCUCCCCCAAUUUCCCAGAGACUGGCUGGCUGCACCAGUGACUGACACUUUGGACAAACUACACAGCUGAUUUUUAAAAAAAUGAUGAGGAACUGAGGGACUAAGUGAUUUUCCCAAGAUCACGCAGGAAAUCUGUGGUAGAACAAAGAACUGAAGCUGGUUCUCCUGACUCCCAGGAUCCGUGCUUCUGGAGAGCUGGGGUUAGAUCUGGGAAGAACUGCAGAGGAACAAAUCCUCUGGUUGGAUGGCCCUGCAUGGAUUUCUCCUCCAACUUUUGACUGAAUCUUUAAAAACAAAUCACAACUGUACUUUCAUCUGCUUCAUUAUUACAGAAAUGAUCAAGGCAUCCUUUGUUUAUAUCAUCAUGUUUUGUUUUUCCUGGCAUGGCCGGCUUUAGGACAUGCGGGGCCCGAUUCGAAAGAGCUGCUGCCGAAAUGCCACUGAAGGCAGCAGCAGCGAUUGAGCCGCUGCCGAAGAUAGCAGACACUGCGGGGCCCUCUGAGGCACAGGGCCCAAUUGACAGGAAUCAGGGGAAUCGGCCUAAAGCCAGCCCUGUUUCCUGGUGAUUACACAUCUUUGUAUUAGUGAAGUUGUGUAGUUUUUUUUUUCUUUUACUUUUUCUUGCAAAUUGUCUCUAGAGGAAUAGCAAAUGGUCUGAUUCCAUUCUCCCAAUGUUUAAAAGUGAAAUAACUCUUUGGACUUAGAAGGAUAUAGAACAGGUAUUCGUGAGCGCUGAAUCAGCACAAAGUGUCUAGAGCAUUCACAUAGCUCAUAUACAAUACAGAUAAAAAUGCCUUCCUUGUAUUUGAAUAGACAUUGGGGAAAGGUUUUCAUUUGAAAGCACUCCAAAACUAUAGCCAUUUCUUAAAAAUGUCUGAAUAUUUCUGCCUAAUUGGAUUAAGAUCAAUUUUAUUAAAAGAUGCCUGAACCAGUUAAGUCCUUUGUGACAGAAAGUGAAGUAAAACAAAAACACCAAUGAUAAUAGUCAUGGUUUCUAUCAACGGUUCACAUCUGUAUUUAACUUGAAGCAGAUGCUUUUCAACAUAAGCCAUUGUUUUAUUCUUGCAUGUGAUAAUAUGUUUUGAUGUUUUUUUCUUAAUUGUAACAUGAUGUA
Long non-coding RNA from Mauremys reevesii (Reeves's turtle), 1725 nucleotides. RefSeq lists it as uncharacterized. The record is from RefSeq and is a predicted model, not a curated record. NCBI's taxonomy places the organism in Eukaryota, Metazoa, Chordata, Testudines, Geoemydidae. The transcript is spliced from 5 exons.